CACGUAGGAGACAAACGUUAUCCGGAGUUACUGGGCGUAAAGGGCGUGUAGGCGGUAUGUUAAGUCUGGCGUGAAAGCUCUCGGCUAAACCGGGAGAGGUCGUUGGAUACUGGCAAACUAGAGGAUGGUAGAGGCGUGUGGAAUUCCGGGUGUAGUGGUGAAAUGCGUAGAGAUCCGGAGGAACACCAGUGGCGAAGGCGACACGCUGGGCCAUACCUGACGCUAAAGCGCGACAGCAUGGGGAGCAAACGGG
RNAcentral lists this ribosomal RNA (253 nucleotides) under uncultured bacterium. RNAcentral describes it as "partial 16S ribosomal RNA". It matches the Rfam family "Bacterial small subunit ribosomal RNA", at positions 524 to 776 of the family's 1533-position model. The record is from RNAcentral.